RNAcentral lists this ribosomal RNA (281 nucleotides) under uncultured Peptoniphilus sp. Its description in RNAcentral is "partial 16S ribosomal RNA". It matches the Rfam family "Bacterial small subunit ribosomal RNA", at positions 77 to 356 of the family's 1533-position model. The record is from RNAcentral. Lineage: Bacteria; Bacillati; Bacillota; Tissierellia; Tissierellales; Peptoniphilaceae.
CGAAGAUAAGACGGAUUAGCGGCGGACGGGUGAGUAACACGUGAGUAACCUGCCUUUUACACAGGGAUAGCCUCGGGAAACCGGGAUUAAAACCUGAUGAAACUAUCAAAUCACAUGAUUAAGAAAGUUAAAACUCCGGUGGUAAAAGAUGGACUCGCGUCCCAUUAGCUAGUUGGUGAAGGUAACGGCCCACCAAGGCAACGAUGGGUAGCCGGCCUGAGAGGGUGAACGGCCACAUUGGAACUGAGAAACGGUCCAAACUCCUACGGGAGGCAGCAGUG